CACAUGCAAGUUCAUGACCAACCGUCUUCUCUCCCGCAAGCAGUUCGUGCUCGAGGUCAUCCACCCCGGCCGCCCCAACGUCUCCAAGGCGGAGCUCAAAGAGAGGCUGGCGAAGAUCUACGAGGUGAAGGACCCCGACUGCAUCUUCGUCUUCAAGUUCCGAACCAACUUCGAAGGCGGCAAGUCCACCAAGGUAGAGAAGUCACGAAAGCAGAUGAAGGAACGUAAGAACAGGGCAAAGAAAAUCCUUGGUGUGAAGAAGACAAAGGCUGGAGAUGCCAAGAAGAAGUAAGGGAGGAAGUUACUUGCCUUGCCAUUUCUCUCAUCAUAGGCUUUGGUUUGUUUAGGGUGGGGCUCCUUCCGGCAAUGCUGAAUGUUUAGUUAGAAGUAGAGGAGAUUUUGCCAAUUACCCAUCACGUUGAGUUUCUCGUUGCACCUUCUGUUCAGUUUUGAGGCACUUUGUCAGACACAAGAAUAUAUAUACCUGGUCAUCACGGCUUUUGUC
This is an RNA transcript of Zea mays, 505 nucleotides long. It is a transcript of the gene named ribosomal protein S24 pseudogene, with no coding region annotated. The transcript is spliced from 3 exons. The record is from RefSeq and is marked validated. NCBI's taxonomy places the organism in Eukaryota, Viridiplantae, Streptophyta, Magnoliopsida, Poales, Poaceae.